This 253-nucleotide ribosomal RNA is filed under the name uncultured bacterium. Its description in RNAcentral is "partial 16S ribosomal RNA". It matches the Rfam family "Bacterial small subunit ribosomal RNA", at positions 524 to 776 of the family's 1533-position model. The record is from RNAcentral.
UACGAAGGGGGCUAGCGUUGCUCGGAAUCACUGGGCGUAAAGCGCACGUAGGCGGAUUGUUAAGUCAGGGGUGAAAUCCUGGAGCUCAACUCCAGAACUGCCUUUGAUACUGGCGAUCUCGAGUCCGGGAGAGGUGAGUGGAACUGCGAGUGUGGAGGUGAAAUUCGUAGAUAUUCGCAAGAACACCAGUAGCGAAGGCGGCUCACUGGCCCGGUACUGACGCUGAGGUGCGAAAGCGUGGGGAGCAAACAGG